This 432-nucleotide ribosomal RNA is filed under the name uncultured bacterium. RNAcentral describes it as "bacterial SSU rRNA". It matches the Rfam family "Bacterial small subunit ribosomal RNA", at positions 343 to 791 of the family's 1533-position model. The record is from RNAcentral.
UGGAGGCAGCAGUGAGGAAUUUUCGGCAAUGGGGGGAACCCUGACCGAGCAACGCCGCGUGGGCGAGGAAGUCCUUCGGGAUGUAAAGCCCUUUUCUGUGGGAAGAAGAGAGACGGUACCACAGGAAUAAGCAUCGGCUAACUACGUGCCAGCAGCCGCGGUAAUACGUAGGAUGCAAGCGUUGUCCGGAUUUACUGGGCGUAAAGGGCGCGCAGGCGGCUUAUUAAGUCUCACGUGAAAGCCCCCGGCUAAACCGGGGAGGGUCGUGGGAGACUGGUAGGCUAGAGUGCAGCAGAGGAUAGUGGAAUUCCCGGUGUAGUGGUGAAAUGCGUAGAGAUCGGGAGGAACACCAGUGGCGAAAGCGGCUAUCUGGGCUGCAACUGACGCUGAGGCGCGAAGGCCAGGGGAGCAAACAGGAUUAGAUACCCCGGU